UUUCCGUAGGUGAACCUGCGGAAGGAUCAUUCAUUAUAAAGUGUUUUAUGGCACUUUUUAAAAAUCCAUAUCCACCUUGUGUGCAAUGUUAGAUCGCGUCAAGCUGGGCGAGAUUUUUAGACAUCAACUCAUUUUUAACUAAUUUGUCUGAAAACUAUUAUGAAUACUUAAUUCAAAAUACAACUUUCAACAACGGAUCUCUUGGCUCUC
This 210-nucleotide unclassified non-coding RNA is filed under the name plant metagenome. RNAcentral's name for it is "partial contains small subunit ribosomal RNA, internal transcribed spacer 1, and 5.8S ribosomal RNA". The record is from RNAcentral.